AUUAGUAUGAGUUUGAUCCUGGCUCAGAAUGAACGCUAGCGAUAAGCUUAACACAUGCAAGUUGAACGCCAUUUCAGAAAUUUUCUGAUAUGGAGUAGCGAACGGGUGAGUAACGCGUAAGAAUCUACCUCGCAAACCAAGCAAAGAGUGAUCUGAAUCUCGGAUAAAUUAAUAAAAUUAAUUAAAGUCAAAAGACGUUGCGAGAUGAGCUUGCGUAGGAUUAGGUAGUUGGUAGGGUAAAAGCCUCCCAAGCCGAAGAUCCUUAGCUGAUCUGAGAGGAUGAUCGGCCACACUGGGACUGAGACACGGCCCAGACGCUUUCGAGCGGCAGCAGUGAGGAAUCUUGGACACUGGGCGCAAGCCUGAUCCAGCUAAAUCGCGUGGGUGAUGAAGACUAACUUGGUUGUAAAGCCCUUUACUUCAAUAGAGAUUAUGACAAAAUUGAAGCAAAAAGUCCCGGCCAAUUUCGUGCCAGCAGCCGCGGUAAUACGAGAGGGGCAAGCGUUAUUCGGAAUGAUUGGGCGUAAAGCGCACGUAGGCUGUUUAGAAAAUCAGAAAUAAAAACAUCAAAGCACCCCUUUGACACUUAUUUUUUUGAUUCCUAAACUGGAGUCUGUAAGAGGAGAAUGGAAUUCCUGGCGUAGAGGUAAAAUUUGUUGAUUCCAGGAGGAACACCUAAAGCGAAGGCAAUUCUCUGGUACUAGACUGACGUUGAGGUGCGACAGCGUGGGGAUCAAAGGGGAUUAGAUACCCCCGUAGUCCACGCCGUCAACGAUGACCUUUCUGUGAAUAGUAAAGUCUGUAAUUACAAAAGGCUUUGCCUUUUGUAAUCCUGGUUUACCAUUUAUAUUAGCUAACGCGUUAAAAGGUCCGCCUGAGGAGUACGGUCGCAAGACUAAAACUCAAAGGAAUAGACGGGGGCUCACACAAGUGGUGGAACAUGUGGUUUAAUUCGAAACAACGCGCAAAACCUUACCAGUCCUUGACAUAAUCUUUACACAAUUUCUUGUUAUUUAGAAAUACUAAAAGAGACCUUUUAGUGAAGAUUACAGGUGUUGCAUGGCUGUCGUCAGUUCGUGUUGUGAAAUGUUGGAUUAAUUUCCUUAACGAACGAAACCCCUCUUUUCAUGGAAAAUUUCUUUCUUUAUUUGAAAUUUUAAAUGGAAAUACAGCUGGUGAUAGACUAGAGGAAGGGAGGGAUCACGUCAAGUCCUCAUGACCCUUAUGGGCUGGGCUACACACGUGUUACAAUGAUGAGUACAAAAAGGAGCAAUGAUGAAAAUCGGAGCAAAUCUUAAAAACUCGUCUCAGUUCAGAUUGUUCUCUGCAACUCGAGAACAUGAAGCCGGAAUCACUAGUAAUCGUAGAUCAGCACGCUACGGUGAAUUUGUACCUGAGCCUUGUACUCACCGCCCGUCACAGCCUAAAAGCAAAUAGUGGAGGAAGUCUUUGAGAUUCUGGAAAAUAUAGGAAUAAAUGAUACUAAUUAUGAUUUUCUGUAGAUUUUCUUUGAACUCAAGCCGAAUUUAAGAUUUGUGAUUGGGUUGAAGUCGUAACAAGGUAGCUGUAGGGGAACCUGCAGCUGGAAUAUAGAGAUU
This 1598-nucleotide ribosomal RNA is filed under the name Micractinium conductrix. Its description in RNAcentral is "Micractinium sp. TP-2008b Bacterial small subunit ribosomal RNA". It matches the Rfam family "Bacterial small subunit ribosomal RNA". Lineage: Eukaryota; Viridiplantae; Chlorophyta; Trebouxiophyceae; Chlorellales; Chlorellaceae. The record is from Rfam by way of RNAcentral.